CUGGCGGCGUGCCUAAUACAUGCAAGUCGAACGGUCUUUCUAUGGAAGCUUGCUUCCACUGAGAAGAUAGUGGCGAACGGGUGAGUAACACGUGGGUAACCUGCCCAUAAGAGGGGGGAUAACAUCCGGAAACGGGUGCUAAUACCGCAUAGUUUUCUUGAUUGCAUGAUUGAGAAAGGAAAGACGGCCUUUGUGCUGUCGCUUAUGGAUGGACCCGCGGCGUAUUAGUUAGUUGGUGAGGUAACGGCUCACCAAGACGAUGAUACGUAGCCGACCUGAGAGGGUGAUCGGCCACAUUGGGACUGAGACACGGCCCAAACUCCUACGGGAGGCAGCAGUAGGGAAUCUUCCGCAAUGGACGAAAGUCUGACGGAGCAACGCCGCGUGAGUGAAGAAAAGGUUUUCGGAUCGUAAAACUCUGUUGUCAGAGAAGAACAAGUUGGAGAGUAACUGCUCCAGCCUUGACGGUAUCUGACCAGAAAGCCACGGCUAACUACGUGCCAGCCGCCGC
Molecule: ribosomal RNA, 511 nt
Filed under: uncultured bacterium
Lineage: Bacteria
Description: bacterial SSU rRNA
Rfam family: Bacterial small subunit ribosomal RNA
Source: RNAcentral